Astatotilapia calliptera (eastern happy) is the source of this 1920-nucleotide long non-coding RNA. The record is from Ensembl. Lineage: Eukaryota; Metazoa; Chordata; Actinopteri; Cichliformes; Cichlidae.
GGGACAGACUCCUGCGACAUCCGUGGUAGCAACAGACGUGUGCAGAUCAACAAUGGAUAAUAUGGAGUGAUGGAGAGAGUACGACAAUGCAGCGUUUAAAGCGUGGAAGUAAUCACAUUACUUUCAGUAAAAAGUGACACAAACAUUAGCGUCUGCUGUUCACUCUGCGUGGGAAGAAAACCUCUUUCUACAGCGAAAAAUUCAACUUCAAAUCUAAGCGAGCAGCGAGCACGCUGCCACGGGAACGUGACAUUAACAGAGAAACCCCCGGAUCCUCCCACUGACAUGACCGCUGUGGGCAAACCUAGACCCGCCCCACUCCUGCUAAACACAGACAACAGAUUUAAGAGCCGCUGAGUCUUUGAUUCUAUUCAUUUUUACUGUGUUUUACUUGCAUCUAUUUGAAAGAGUGUAAACACAAAACAUGAUUUUAUUUUAUAUGCUGGAAUAUGCAGAACAUAGGUUUAAAUGUUAAACACAUUUCUUCAAGUCAAAGACUAUUGAUAACAUUUAAUGUUUGAUGCAUAAAGAUAAAAGAGUAAAACUCAUAAAACAAGUGUUGAUUACAUUUUAUAUGAUGGAUUAUGCAUAAAAAGUAGAAUUGGGCUGAAAGGUCUGUUGCUACAUUCAGGUUGUGUAUCAUGUUUUCAAAAAGUAACUAAGUAAUAAAGUAACUAAUUACUAUUUUCAAGUAACUUAACCAACACUGGUUAGAAAUGUGUAUUGUUUAUGUGUUUGCAAUAAAUCAAAUCAUUCUUGCUUUUUUAUGUAGAAGCAGAUGCACAGCUGUUCAUCGAGCUCAGCACCUUUGACUGAGGUGCUGAGCCAGCUGUUGUACAGUGAUAUUACUGCAGUAGCACGGCUCUCCAUAGUCUCUGCUCUUAUGCUGAACAUUUUCCUCAUGUCAAGGCUGCCCAACCUUCCAACCUACUACUGAAAACUAAAAAAAAAUAGCCUUGGGUUUCUCACUAAUCAGCACAUGCUGUAAUAAGUGCAUUGAAAGGCUAAAUGGAAACAAAAACUGGUGACUUCAAAGCCUCCCCUAUGUACCCCCCCCCCCCCCCCCCCCCCUUUAGCAAACACUACGGGGAACUGUAAGGAGUAAGUUGAAUUUGAGACUUGAAUUUGCCCAGCUCCCCUUUCUUAAUAAUCGAGCUGUAAGAGCCUGAGCUGGAGCCAUCUGUGUGGUGCCCUCAAAAAUAAUGAGGCAGCACUGUUAGGAUUUCAGGUCAUUAUAUUAGUUUUAGUGAUGGAUGGAAAUGGAUUUUUGCUAAGCAGUACUGAAUGGGGCAAAGCUGAGCCAUAAUUAAAAAAUAACAAGUACUGUAGAAGAGAAUGACUAUGAAUGUUAAAUCUGUUUUUCUGGUUUCACAUCAGGAAUAUUUAGAAGCGUGAAUUAACUGCUCUGAAUAGACUAAUAGAUAGAUGCAUCCUGUAAGAGCAACAUGUGUGAAGAUGUUUUGAGGAUGCGUUUCCAUGGCAGCAGAGUCAAGUGCUGAUGGAUCAUGGGGUGGCGGCCUGGAUCCCAUCCCAGCUGCAACAGGAGAUUUUCUGUCUCACUUCCACCAUCCUCACCUCCAUUUUCCCGAGCAAGAAGAGGAGAGCAUGAGUAAGAAAGCACCCUCUACACCUGGAACCUCUGGCAAAUGAGUAGGUGGAGGUUUAGGAUAGCCAGGAGCCAGAGUUGCUCGUGGAUCCAUCGUGGAUGAUGGUGGGCUGCCACAGAGCAUGAAGAAGAGAAGAAGGGAGGCAAAAUAAAUUUUGGCUCAAAGCUCCAGGAGCAAAAACAGAAAAAGUACUAACCAUAGUCCCACAACGAUUUCUGCACAGAAACCUUGAGCAGCCAUCUUUUUAGAUAGUUAUUACAUGCUGUGUAAAUAAAUCUUAUCAACUGCACUAAAAUACACAUAAAUACCGUGC